CAGUAGCCGCGGUAAGACAGAGGAUGCAAGCGUUAUCCGGAAUGAUUGGGCGUAAAGCGUCUGUAGGUGGCUUUUCAAGUCCGCCGUCAAAUCCCAGGGCUCAACCCUGGACAGGCGGUGGAAACUACCAAGCUGGAGUACGGUAGGAGCAGAGGGAAUUUCCGGUGGAGCGGUGAAAUGCGUUGAGAUCGGAAAGAACACCAACGGCGAAAGCACCCUGCUGGGCCGACACUGACACUGAGAGACGAAAGCUAGGGGAGCAAAUGGGAUUAGAGACCCCCGUAGUCCCUGUCUCUUAUAC
RNAcentral lists this ribosomal RNA (301 nucleotides) under uncultured bacterium. Its description in RNAcentral is "partial 16S ribosomal RNA". It matches the Rfam family "Bacterial small subunit ribosomal RNA", at positions 509 to 807 of the family's 1533-position model. The record is from RNAcentral.